CAACAAAUGCCCUGCUUCCAGGAAAAGCCUCUAAGCAUCAGGUAACAUCAAAUCGUACCCCAAACCGACACAGGUGGUCAGGUAGAGAAUACCAAGGCGCUUGAGAGAACUCGGGUGAAGGAACUAGGCAAAAUGGUGCCGUAACUUCGGGAGAAGGCACGCUGAUACGUAGGUGAAGCGACUUGCUCGUGGAGCUGAAAUCAGUCGAAGAUACCAGCUGG
RNAcentral lists this ribosomal RNA (221 nucleotides) under Shigella flexneri. RNAcentral describes it as "partial 23S ribosomal RNA". It matches the Rfam family "Bacterial large subunit ribosomal RNA", at positions 1591 to 1793 of the family's 2925-position model. The record is from RNAcentral. Lineage: Bacteria; Pseudomonadati; Pseudomonadota; Gammaproteobacteria; Enterobacterales; Enterobacteriaceae.